RNAcentral lists this ribosomal RNA (253 nucleotides) under uncultured bacterium. RNAcentral describes it as "partial 16S ribosomal RNA". It matches the Rfam family "Bacterial small subunit ribosomal RNA", at positions 524 to 776 of the family's 1533-position model. The record is from RNAcentral.
UACGUAGGUGGCAAGCGUUGUCCGGAUUUACUGGGCGUAAAGAGCGCGCAGGCGGUCGUUCAAGUCGCGUGUGAAAGCCCCCGGCUCAACUGGGGAGGGUCACGCGAUACUGAGCGACUCGAAGGCAGGAGAGGGUAGUGGAAUUCCCGGUGUAGUGGUGAAAUGCGUAGAUAUCGGGAGGAACACCAGUGGCGAAGGCGACUACCUGGCCUGUUCUUGACGCUGAGGCGCGAAGGCUAGGGGAGCAAACGGG